AAGUCGAGGGGCAGCAUGGGGGAGGUUUCGGCCACCCCCGAUGGCGACCGGCGGAUGGGUGAGUAACGCGUAUCCAACCUGCCCCUGUCCCGGGGACAGCCCUUAAAAAUGAGGAUUAACCCCCGAUGGCGCGGAAAGGCCGCAUGGCUUAUCCGCCAAAUGCGAAGGACAGGGAUGGGGAUGCGUUCCAUUAAGCAGCAGGCGGGGUAACGGCCCACCUGGCCGGCGAUGGAUAGGGGUUCUGAAAGGAAGGUCCCCCACACUGGAACUGAGACACGGUCCAGACUCCUACGGGAGGCAGCAGUGAGGAAUAUUGGUCAAUGGGCGGAAGCCUGAACCAGCCAAGUAGCGUGCGGGAUGAAGGCCCUACGGGUUGUAAACCGCUUUUGCGCGGGGAUAAAGAGAGGCACGUGUGCCUCGUUGCAAGUACCGCGCGAAUAAGGACCGGCUAAUUCCGUGCCAGCAGCCGCGGUAAUACGGAAGGUCCGGGCGUUAUCCGGAUUUAUUGGGUUUAAAGGGAGCGCAGGCGGGAUGUCAAGUCAGCCGUUAAACGGCCCGGCUCAACCGGGUCUUGCGGUUGAAACUGGCGUCCUUGGGUUCACAAAAGGCAGGCGGAACUCGUGGUGUAGCGGUGAAAUGCAUAGAUAUCACGAAGAACCCCGAUUGCGAAGGCAGCCUGCCGGGGUGCUACCGACGCUCAUGCUCGAAGGCGCGGGUAUCAAACAGGAUUAGAUACCCUGGUAGUCCGCGCAGUAAACGAUGGAUGCCCGCGGUGCGGCCUAUAAGGUUACGCCGCCAAGCGAAAGCGUUAAGCAUCCCACCUGGGGAGUACGCCGGCAACGGUGAAACUCAAAGGAAUUGACGGGGGCCCGCACAAGCGGAGGAACAUGUGGUUUAAUUCGAUGAUACGCGAGGAACCUUACCCGGGCUUGAAAUGCGACUGACGGCGGGCAGAGACGCCCGCCUCCUUCGGGCAGUCGUGUAGGUGCUGCAUGGUUGUCGUCAGCUCGUGCCGUGAGGUGUCGGCUCAAGUGCCAUAACGAGCGCAACCCCUGUCAGCAGUUGCGAGCGGGUGAAGCCGCGCA
This 1085-nucleotide ribosomal RNA is filed under the name uncultured bacterium. Its description in RNAcentral is "bacterial SSU rRNA". It matches the Rfam family "Bacterial small subunit ribosomal RNA", at positions 59 to 1137 of the family's 1533-position model. The record is from RNAcentral.